UCCUCGCACUAAGGAUGGUACUCGUUCCGAUUAUGUUCUUGACGGGGUAUCGUCCCACCAAGCUUUUAAUCGUUACAGGUUGUGGGAUCAAGAUCCCGAAGUUAUUCAGGAGACAUGAAUCCAGCCCUGGCGGGCCACAUCAGCGAGCGGCAUUCCGUUCGCAAUUGCGAGUCAAUCGUGUAUUAAGCGUAUCCACUGCAAGUGCCCGUGUUCAGAAUGACUAGUGUCUGUUUAAAUAAUAAUCCGAAAUGUAUCAUGUGGCAAGAACACGGGACACAUGCAUAGACCCGGUUGACCAGCCGCGCCGUCUGUGAAUAGACCGGCUCAGCUUCGAAGUGGGUGGGCCACAGACGUACCUUGGGUUUUGAACGCCUUACGGUAUGCUUGAGGCUGAUUAGUGUGCUCCUCGAGGAAAGUAUGUCGCUGUCUACGACAUAGAACAGGCAUUUCUAAGGAUGACUAUCCAGCAGGUCUUGGCGAAACUGUGUAGGAGUUAAAAUCCGUAACUUUCGGGGAGUACGGAGUGGAAAUACUGGUAAUUCUGUAGACGGGACGACCAUAUGCACGAAGGACAGUUUAACCCAGAACAGCUUCGACAGUGAGGGACGUUAAGUCUGGGCGGAUGCUCACGGGAUUAGAUAACCCCGGUAGUCCCAGCCGUAACAAUGUGCGUUAGGUGUGUCGGUAACCACGUGUUACUGAUGCGCCGAAGAGAAAUCGUGAAACGCACCACCUGGGAAGUACGGUCGCAAGGGGAAACUCAAAGGAAUUGACGG
RNAcentral lists this ribosomal RNA (776 nucleotides) under uncultured archaeon. RNAcentral describes it as "partial 16S ribosomal RNA". It matches the Rfam family "Archaeal small subunit ribosomal RNA", at positions 195 to 871 of the family's 1478-position model. The record is from RNAcentral.